UUUAGUCCUCCGACCGGUAUCCAUGUGGCCAGGAGGAGCGAAAUGGACGAAGUCAACGAGCUGGCUAUCCUGAUGAUGGAGUUGGAGUUGGGAGAGCAGAUGGGAGAGCCUUUAGAUCACGGGAGAUAUUACUUCCUAAACAACCUUCAUACAUCUGUCAUCCAACAACUGAGAAGAGAAGGAUUCAAAUCAGGGAAAAAACUAUAAUGAUUGUAUCAGAAUUACCUUGACUAACAACUAUUUAUGUUCAUAAAUAAAUCAUAUAUUAAAGUCACAAACCACAUUCUUCAUCAAA
Non-coding RNA from Oncorhynchus mykiss (rainbow trout), 295 nucleotides. NCBI's taxonomy places the organism in Eukaryota, Metazoa, Chordata, Actinopteri, Salmoniformes, Salmonidae. The record is from RefSeq and is a predicted model, not a curated record.